GAUAGAGAGGUUGAUAGAGGAGUUCUUAAUGCUUUGUUAAAAAAAAAAUCAAAACAAAAGAAAAAAUGUAAGAUCUCCCUUUAUAUAGUAUACUCAACUGUCUGUGAGGCUAAUAAAAAAUACAAAAGAAAAAAAAAAAUUAGAAAGAUUGAUUUUAUUACUUCUCCUCUCUUUCUCUCUCUUUCUCUCACAAUUGAAUCUCCCAAACGAGAAAACAAUUUGGAAUCAGAAGCUUCAAGGUUUGGAAUCGAAGGACCGUUUGGAUUCAAUUGGGAAUGGAGAGAAGACGAUUCGAUGGGAAUGGAGAGAAGGGCGAUUCAUCGGAAAGUUUUAGAGUGGAUUAAUUAUAAUCGUUGAAGAUUCUCUGGCUUGGUCGGUGGAUUUGAUUUGAAUCUGGGUAGGGUAGGGUAGGUUACGUGCUUUUCUAUCGGGACUUUGUUGCAUUAGAGAUGAAGUGAGAGAAAUCUAAGUCCAGCAAGGAAGACGAUUGGUGCUGGAUCGGUUGUGUUGAAAGAUGUGCCGCCUCGUACGACGGCUGUUGGAAAUCCGGCGAGGUUGCUUGGUGGUAAAGAUAAUCCGAAAACGCAUGAUAAGAUUCCUGGUUUGAUUAUGGACCAGACAUCGCAUAUAUCCGAGUGGUCGGAUUAUGUAAUCUGAAAAACAAAAAAGUCUUUGCUUUGUAUUGUUGUUGUUAAUGGCUUUUCAUUGUUCUCUCUCGGCUUCUUCUGUUACUGAAGCUGGAGAACUUAUGAUAUGCGAUAAUCAGAUUAUUUGUCUCUCUAUAAGAUUGACUGAUUAAGAUGGGAUUUGAAUGUAAAACUCGGAAACUCUAAACUCUGUUUAGUGGAGUUUCCUGUGGUUGGUUUCUGAUUAGCAGAGACUACUUUAAAGAUAUGUAAUCUAAGUGUUUAUUUGGUUAAACCAUGAUUUCUUUGAUCAGACUUGUUGGGAAUAAAUUGAAGAUUCAUCAUUUGUCUUGAGUUUUGUUUUGCUUACUACAACUUUCUAGGAAAUGACAACAAGAUCAGUCAGGAUCCAGGAUUGCUUGCUACCAUCAAUUAAAACUCUACCUAUUUGUCUGUAAGUUUCAUCUGCUUCUGUUGAAAAUUGCUGUAGAAAAAGCGGUAAAGCGAGUGCAGAGCCAGGUCCCCUUUGUGACGACGCAGUGAGCACUUUACUGACUUGUCUCCUGGACCACUUUGUCGUAAACCCAAAAAAAAGUGAACAGCAGCAGCAGGCUGCACACCGCAGAAUCCGUCGACCUUUCACAGUUACUGAGGUAGAAGCACUUGUUCAAGCAGUUGAGAAACUCGGUACUGGAAGAGCCAAUGCGCAACAACCAAAGUUGUUCGUGGGAAUGAUUCUGAUUCUCAUAUUUGCUGAAGCACUUGCGCUGUACGGUCUCAUUGUUGGUAUCAUCCUCUCUUCUCGAGCUGGUCAAUCUAGAGCCGAGUGAAGAAAUUCAUAAGUAUCUCUGCUAUAUGAGCUCUAAGUCCUUGUAAUGGUUUGGUAAAUUUUACUUUCAGUUUUUUUUUCUUUUGUGGUAUUGUGAGUUUUGAGUUUCUCAUGAAAACAAACAUCAUGGGUG
Molecule: long non-coding RNA, 1588 nt
Organism: Camelina sativa (false flax)
Lineage: Eukaryota; Viridiplantae; Streptophyta; Magnoliopsida; Brassicales; Brassicaceae
Source: RefSeq, a predicted model, not a curated record